RNAcentral lists this ribosomal RNA (428 nucleotides) under uncultured bacterium. RNAcentral's name for it is "bacterial SSU rRNA". It matches the Rfam family "Bacterial small subunit ribosomal RNA", at positions 340 to 760 of the family's 1533-position model. The record is from RNAcentral.
UACGGAAGGCAGCAGUGGGGAAUAUUGCACAAUGGGCGAAAGCCUGAUGCAGCUAUGCCGCGUGUAUGAAGAAGGCCUUAGGGUUGUAAAGUACUUUCAUCGGGGAGGAAAAACAAAACUAAUAAUUUUAUUUCUUGACGUUACCCGAAAAAGAAGCACCGGCUAACUCCGUGCCAGCAGCCGCGGUAAUACGGAGGGUGCUAGCGUUAAUCAGAAUUACUGGGCGUAAAGAGCACGUAGGUGGUUUUUUUAAGUCAGAUGUGAAAUCCCUGGGCUUAACCUAGGAACUGCAUUUUGAAACUGAAAUACUAGAGUAUCGUAGAGGGAGGUAGAAUUCUAGGUGUAGCGGUGAAAUGCGUAGAUAUCUGGAGGAAUACCUGUGGCGAAAGCGGCCUCCUAAACGAAUACUGACACUGAGGUGCGAAAGC